Non-coding RNA from Lupinus albus (white lupine), 77 nucleotides. Lineage: Eukaryota; Viridiplantae; Streptophyta; Magnoliopsida; Fabales; Fabaceae. The record is from the annotation of a GenBank genome assembly.
UUUCCCAAUGAUGCUGGUUUCUUACCAUGCUAAUUCUGAUAACAUGAUUAAUAUUUUUUUAUCAUACUGAGGGAACC